GACGAACGCUGGCGGCGUGCCUAAUACAUGCAAGUAGAACGCACAGUUUAUACCGUAGCUUGCUACACCAUAGACUGUGAGUUGCGAACGGGUGAGUAACGCGUAGGUAACCUGCCUGGUAGCGGGGGAUAACUAUUGGAAACGAUAGCUAAUACCGCAUAAUAUUAAUUAUUGCAUGAUAAUUAAUUGAAAGGUGCAAUUGCACCACUACCAGAUGGACCUGCGUUGUAUUAGCUAGUAGGUGAGGUAACGGCUCACCUAGGCGACGAUACAUAGCCGACCUGAGAGGGUGAUCGGCCACACUGGGACUGAGACACGGCCCAGACUCCUACGGGAGGCAGCAGUAGGGAAUCUUCGGCAAUGGACGAAAGUCUGACCGAGCAACGCCGCGUGAGUGAAGAAGGUUUUCGGAUCGUAAAGCUCUGUUGUAAGAGAAGAACGGGUGUGAGAGUGGAAAGUUCACACUGUGACGGUAUCUUACCAGAAAGGGACGGCUAGCUACGU
Molecule: ribosomal RNA, 504 nt
Filed under: uncultured bacterium
Lineage: Bacteria
Description: partial 16S ribosomal RNA
Rfam family: Bacterial small subunit ribosomal RNA
Source: RNAcentral